This 397-nucleotide ribosomal RNA is filed under the name bacterium enrichment culture. RNAcentral describes it as "bacterial SSU rRNA". It matches the Rfam family "Bacterial small subunit ribosomal RNA", at positions 521 to 916 of the family's 1533-position model. The record is from RNAcentral.
UAAUACGUAGGGUGCGAGCGUUAAUCGGAAUUACUGGGCGUAAAGCGUGCGCAGGCGGUUAUGUAAGACAGAUGUGAAAUCCCCGGGCUCAACCUGGGAACUGCGUUUGUGACUGCAUAACUAGAGUACGGCAGAGGGAGGUGGAAUUCCACGUGUAGCAGUGAAAUGCGUAGAGAUGUGGAGGAACACCGAUGGCGAAGGCAGCCUCCUGGGCCAGUACUGACGCUCAUGCACGAAAGCGUGGGGAGCAAACAGGAUUAGAUACCCUGGUAGUCCACGCCCUAAACGAUGUCAACUAGUUGUUCGGUGAGGAGACUCAUUGAGUAACGCAGCUAACGCGUGAAGUUGACCGCCUGGGGAGUACGGCCGCAAGGUUAAAACUCAAAUGAAUUGACGG